ACGACCUCAGAGCAGGCGAGACUACCCGCUGAU
RNAcentral lists this ribosomal RNA (33 nucleotides) under Diadegma blackburni. RNAcentral describes it as "partial 28S ribosomal RNA". The record is from RNAcentral. Lineage: Eukaryota; Metazoa; Arthropoda; Insecta; Hymenoptera; Ichneumonidae. RNAcentral also lists the same sequence under 2 other names.